Molecule: ribosomal RNA, 506 nt
Filed under: uncultured bacterium
Lineage: Bacteria
Description: partial 16S ribosomal RNA
Rfam family: Bacterial small subunit ribosomal RNA
Source: RNAcentral
AGUGAACGCUGGCGGUAGGCCUAACACAUGCAAGUCGAACGGCAGCACAGGAGAGCUUGCUCUCUGGGUGGCGAGUGGCGGACGGGUGAGGAAUACAUCGGAAUCUACUCUGUCGUGGGGGAUAACGUAGGGAAACUUACGCUAAUACCGCAUACGACCUACGGGUGAAAGCAGGGGACCUUCGGGCCUUGCGCGAUUGAAUGAGCCGGUGUCGGAUUAGCUAGUUGGCGGGGUAAAGGCCCACCAAGGCGACGAUCCGUAGCUGGUCUGAGAGGAUGAGCAGCCACCCUGGAACUGAGACACGGUCCAGACGCCUACGGGAGGCAGCAGGGGGGAAUAUUGGACAAUGGGCGCAAGCCUGAUCCAGCCAUACCGCGUGGGUGAAGAAGGCCUUCGGGUUGUAAAGCCCUUUUGUUGGGAAAGAAAUCCAGCUGGCUAAUACCCGGUUGGGAUGACGGUACCCAAAGAAUAAGCACCGGCUAACUUCGUGCCAGCCGCCGCCGUAA